Lycium barbarum (goji berry) is the source of this 4853-nucleotide long non-coding RNA. RefSeq lists it as uncharacterized. Lineage: Eukaryota; Viridiplantae; Streptophyta; Magnoliopsida; Solanales; Solanaceae. The record is from RefSeq and is a predicted model, not a curated record. The transcript is spliced from 4 exons.
UUUUUACUAAGUAUCAAUAAGUGACUUAGUUGAAGUAGGGAUAGCAAAAGUUAAUUAAUACCGUUUUUUGUUUGACUGGAUUGUUCAAGUUAAACCAGAUUAGGCUAAGUAUCUAUACAAAUAUAUAAUUGCAGGACAAAGGUCCGCUGACGUGACACUCUCUAUUUAUUUAUUUUCUCAUUUUUCAUUAAAAAAACUUAAUAUUUAGGAGCCCAAAAGACGCUAUUAAAACCAACCAUCGCUCACUUGGAAAACCAAUCCCACCCCUCGACAGGUAAACCAAAAGCCAAGCCUCAUUGUCUACAAGCUUCCCUUUGAUCCAGUCAAUUAUAUCAUCUGUCUCCGCUUCAAAUUUGUUCGUUCACAAGGAAGAUUUGAGGGACGGGUAAUUCCUUUCUCCUCCAAUUCGAUGUGUGUGAUCGUUUCUACAUGGGCAGUAUGCCCUUUCUGUCAGAACCAGGUCCCUCUCAGCCUAGAUUUCAGCCCUACAAUACUCGAUAAUCUUUUUCUUCCCCUUUUUCCACUUUCUUGAUAAUUUCCAUAAUUGAAUCAAAUUUAUUUAGCCUUAUAAUUAGCAAUCAGUUACGUAACAUGCAUAUCCAUCUUAUUCACGAGACACGAGUUGAGUAAUUGGAUAGUCGUUUGACAAACCUGUGAUGUUCCUUUUCUUAAUGAAAAAUCAAAAGAAACAAUUGGUUUUUUCUUUCUUUGGCCCAGUUAUAAUUUGAUUUGUCAAAGUCCCUGACCAAUCGACGUAUAGAAGAUGCCAAUGAAGUAGUUGACCCAAUAUGAUUGAAAAUUAAACAUAGUUAAGUGCCAAGGAAGUCUUCUUACACUUUUAAUUGAAUGUUUACAUUAUUUCUUUGUGGAUGUUUACUCUUUAACUUCUGUUUUCCUUCAAAUAAACAUAUGCAAAUAAAAAAGUAUCAAAAGGUGGUGCAACAGAAACAUAACAAUUACAAUGAAAAUAUGGAUGUCUUCGAUAAUUGUGGUUGAGGAGGAGGACGAGUUUACUGACUAAUCAAUGGCUUCACAUAGACUGGUCUGUUUUUCUUUUUCGUCUUGCUUUUCUUUGGGUCCAAUUACUGGUGCUAACAGAGAGGUCAGAGGAGAUUCAGAGAAGAACAAUAAUAUUCUAACCCCAAUUCUUAGACUUGGUGGUUUAUUUAUCCGGACAGGAUUCAUGCAAUUGAGAAACAAAUGACUGUUGAAUGGACCAAAGUAGAGGAAAUGAAAUGGGAAGAAGACUUGAAAAUUUGACCCACAAGUUCAAUUGUAGAAUAGUCAGAAUUACACCCCUACCUCCUCUAAGUGUAGGAUUGUAAAUACUCCCACCGGAUCAAAAAGAGUGUCCACUUAGCCUUUAUGUAUGUAGGGGAUAUGAUUUAAACAAAUCAACGCAUACAUCCAUUUUUAAGAAACAACAAUGAAGUAGUAGUAGUUUGUUAUGUUACAAAAUAGACCAAAAAAGAAAUUAACACUUAAGAUGCUAGCUUAUUAAUUUUUAGAUUACAUAAUAUUGUUACAUAAAAUAUGAAAGAAUGGCGUAUAUGUGAUAUCUGAAACCACGUGAGAGGUUUAUGAGAUAAUUUCAUGAUGAAAGGGCAACAUAUAAUUAGUAGUAUUGACUAUAUAAUGCAAGUGCGAGGAGAUAAUAUCAAUAGCAGAUAAAGGCCAAAGUUAUGAAUCCUUCAUCAAAAAAUUAAGAUAGGUUCCUAAGGUAUUUACUGGUCUAAGUUUAUGAAGUUCCCUGUAGAGUCACACAGCUGUUCCGUAAUUCAUGCAAAAACCUUCACACAUUCAAUUGCAAUGGUACACAAGGCAGCGAGGAAAUCUUCAGAGGAGGAGACAUCAAUCGUCCGUGAAAAACUCCAGCAUAAAGAAGCUUCACGUUUGAUUACUUUCUUCUUUUUUUCCUUCGUUUAUUUUUGAGACUUGAGAUUUUUCUUGUUGCUAUAUAAUUGGUUGAAAAUCUGUGGAAAUCUUACUUAGUUUUACUGUGUGCAACUAACGAAAAUCAUUUUUUUUUUUUGUAUUUUUUAUUAUAUUUUGGUAUUUUUUCUUUUGAAAGUUGUGUUUAUCUUGCCAAUCUUGUUUUUUUUUUCCCCCCAUGUGUGGCCAGAGGACAUAUGUAUUUUUGGUUAUCGCGACUUCAUACUUUUAAUAAUUUAUAUAUCUGAGCAAUUGCAUGUAAUAGAGUAUGCAUUUACCAAUAUUUUUCACGAUUGUGAAUUGUGGGAUAAUAUAUGGUACAUAGAAUAUAAAUGAAAAGAAAUGGAAUCUCUUUAUGACAAAUACUAUUGAAAAUAUUGUCGUUAUCAGUAAAGUAUAACACCAAGUUUUGGAUUGGUCAAUGACAUAUUCUUAUACAAUUUGCUUUCUUUCUUAUUUAUUCCUUAAUAGAAAAAGAUUAGUAUGUAAAUUUGAUGAGGUUUAGUAAGAACGCGCGAAGCGCGGGCUGCUUUACUAGUUUCUUAUAAAAGUCAAAGACAGAAUUAUAGUUGGAGAUGGAUGACGAUCAAUUUUUUGCCGGCUUCAAAGUAUUAGAUAUUCAUUUAGUAUUUAAAAUAUUGAUGGAGAUUACAACUUUAUCCAACAUAGAAUAUGACUUGAUAGAAUUUUUAGAGGGUAUAGAAGUCGUUCGCUAUUUAAAGAAUAUUUCGUUCAACCAACAUUUAUACUUGUGCUUUUAUAAUAAUAUAGAAGAUAGAUAGUUUAGAAAGACCUAGGUUUCGACGUGUGUGCUUUAAAAAAAAAGUUGAGGAUAAUUUAGUCUUUUCAUAGCUUAAUGAAACAUGGCUUCAAACCUAAAACAGAAUAGCCACGUAAAUUAGCCAAUCCAUCCCUCAAUACCUCUUGCUAUCAUAAAUUCCCAAUUGCUGGAAACCAGUAGAGGAAAGUGUGAAACGUUAUAUAAACAGAACAUAUUAAGAGUUCGAAGAGGAAAUGGGGGAUCCCUUUUCUAUGUGAUUGAUUUCCUUGAGCCGAGAGACUGAAACACGAUGAACGAAACUUAUGGAGUUUUUAUUUCAAUUUUCGUUUUACUUGAUUCUGAUGAAACAUCGAAAUUGCCUGGUUGCUUUUCUGUAAUUGCACAUUCUUUUAUAACUACAUGCUUUGUUGAUAUAAUGAAAUUAUGGAUCUAUCUCUGAUUCUGAGGAGACUUGCACUGAUUUUCAAUUAUGACCGGUUACCAAGAAAUAAAAAACACCCAAGAGCUUACUUGUCAACAUGGAUAUGUGCCUUUUAACUACUAAUAAAAGAACAACUAAAGUGAACUGCUUCUUUUUCUGGUUUCCAACACUAGAAUAGUUGUUGGGUUAACUAAUAUAUCCAUGUUUUGUAUAUAUUACACCACAUUGUACUAUAAUAGUCCAUUUAACCAAUCAUGCAGAGUUUUGGAAGACUUCCAAUUUGCAAUGUGUUUAAGGCAUGUGUCUGGAAGCAUUUUUAAGUAGGACUGAAAGAGUGUACCUAUCAUUAAGAGUAUGAAUGAAGAGCAUUUUUUUUUAUGUCAGAAUAUUGGCCAUAUUUUCUAUGCCUAUUUGAGUAAUUAGAUAUGUUAUAUUAAAGCUCUAGAUGACCUUCUCAGCACUUCCUUUUUGCUGGUUCUAUAUAUAUAUAUAAAUGCUACACUUUACCCAUCAAAUAAAAGUUUACAGCUUUUGAUGACUAUUUUGUAUUUGAGUUAUUCUCUUAAGGAAAGAACGGAUGAUUUCCUGAAAGGCGAAGUUCAGCAGACGAUAGCUUAUGUUUGGCUAAGUUUAAUGUAUUUGAGAGAAGAGAGAGACAUAAGAUGCUUUGAAGGGGCUAUUUGACGCCGAGCCUGAAGGAAAAGACAGUCACUUCUCUUUUGUAGCUUUGGAUAUUAUUUCUGAAGUCGACAGUUGAGGAUUCUUGGACUCAGAUGCGAACACACAUUUGCUCGCUGAAAAGGAAAAACUUCAGGAGCAAAUGUCGCCUCAGUAUCAAAAGCAUCUUGCUCAGAGAAGGCUUCUUCAUUGCAUGAGCAGCUGACUGGGAAAUAUUCAAUUUCCUAUGGAUGCAGCUUAACUUAGACUAUCUUCAAUGGUGUCAAUGUCAUGGCUAGAGUUGGACUAUUUUCUUCCCUGGUCAAUUGAGAUUUUGUGCAGGAACCGAAUCAAUAAAACAAAUAAUAAUGGAUAUCUAUAUUUUGGCUUGUAAGUCUAAGUGGAACUACUGAUUACCUAUCAAUAAAUAAUAAGAUUGUUCUAGCGGCUCCUAUGUCUUACAGGAUUUUUGCGAGUUUCCCAUAAACAAAGGGGGGGAAAAAAAUUAAAAAGCGUAGAAGCGCCACUAUUGAUUUUCUGAUAUUACAGUCAUGACUUUGGAGCAUUUUGGAUUUCUUAUGGGAUGGAGUCAAUCUUCUGCUCUUUGCAUCUAAGGACUUCUUAAGAACGGGCCUUUAGUUAUAAAAACCAUGAAGGAUUGAUGGGACCUUACUCAGUGAUCCGGUAUACAGGAGCACAUCAUGAGAAAGUACGACUCUCAUCAAGCGGCAUAUAAGUCAUGAAGCAUUCGGCUAUUUAGGUCCAUUACUGGGCUCACCUACUAAACAAUGGCACCAGUGAUGCUUGUUUUUAUGAUUCUGACGACUUGGAAGCAUGCUCACUGCUGCAUAGCAGUUUUACAAACCUAAAAUGUAAUGUAUAAAAACAGUUUUUCAAUGUUCUUGUGCUAUUUCCCAUACUUUAUUAUGAUAUUAUAGUUGCUCUAUUUAGUAUUUGCAACUGCUAAGGAUUUCAAUGAUGCAAUAUAUACGAAAAUGCAUUUGGUAGUUGCACCAUAGGAAUCUAAAGAUGUAUCAUAAUUCAAAUUGUUUGGCCCGUCUA